This 844-nucleotide ribosomal RNA is filed under the name uncultured Staphylococcus sp. RNAcentral's name for it is "bacterial SSU rRNA". It matches the Rfam family "Bacterial small subunit ribosomal RNA", at positions 69 to 896 of the family's 1533-position model. Lineage: Bacteria; Bacillati; Bacillota; Bacilli; Caryophanales; Staphylococcaceae. The record is from RNAcentral.
ACAGAUAAGGAGCUUGCUCCUUUGACGUUAGCGGCGGACGGGUGAGUAACACGUGGGUAACCUACCUAUAAGACUGGGACAACUUCGGGAAACCGGAGCUAAUACCGGAUAAUAUGUUGAACCGCAUGGUUCAAUAGUGAAAGAUGGUUUUGCUAUCACUUAUAGAUGGACCCGCGCCGUAUUAGCUAGUUGGUGAGGUAACGGCUCACCAAGGCAACGAUACGUAGCCGACCUGAGAGGGUGAUCGGCCACACUGGAACUGAGACACGGUCCAGACUCCUACGGGAGGCAGCAGUAGGGAAUCUUCCGCAAUGGGCGAAAGCCUGACGGAGCAACGCCGCGUGAGUGAUGAAGGUCUUAGGAUCGUAAAACUCUGUUAUUAGGGAAGAACAAACGUGUAAGUAACUGUGCACGUCUUGACGGUACCUAAUCAGAAAGCCACGGCUAACUACGUGCCAGCAGCCGCGGUAAUACGUAGGUGGCAAGCGUUAUCCGGAAUUAUUGGGCGUAAAGCGCGCGUAGGCGGUUUUUUAAGUCUGAUGUGAAAGCCCACGGCUCAACCGUGGAGGGUCAUUGGAAACUGGAAAACUUGAGUGCAGAAGAGGAAAGUGGAAUUCCAUGUGUAGCGGUGAAAUGCGCAGAGAUAUGGAGGAACACCAGUGGCGAAGGCGACUUUCUGGUCUGUAACUGACGCUGAUGUGCGAAGGCGUGGGGAUCAAACAGGAUUAGAUACCCUGGUAGUCCACGCCGUAAACGAUGAGUGCUAAGUGUUAGGGGGUUUCCGCCCCUUAGUGCUGCAGCUAACGCAUUAAGCACUCCGCCUGGGGAGUACGACCGCAAGUUG